GUUUAGAUAGUUUAUUUAGAAUAGCAAUUUGUGGAAUUGCAGGUGUUGUAUAACUUUAAACC
RNAcentral lists this transfer RNA (62 nucleotides) under Sclomina parva. RNAcentral describes it as "tRNA-His". Lineage: Eukaryota; Metazoa; Arthropoda; Insecta; Hemiptera; Reduviidae. The record is from RNAcentral.